UACGAAGGGGGCGAGCGUUGUUCGGAAUCACUGGGCGUAAAGGGCGCGUAGGCGGCCCUCUUAGUCGCGUGUGAAAGCCCCGGGCUCAACCUGGGAACGGCGCGCGAAACGGGAGGGCUGGAGUUCGGGAGAGGAGAGUGGAAUUCCCAGUGUAGAGGUGAAAUUCGUAGAUAUUGGGAAGAACACCGGUGGCGAAGGCGGCUCACUGGACCGGCAUUGACGCUGAGGUGCGAAAGCGUGGGGAGCAAACAGG
RNAcentral lists this ribosomal RNA (253 nucleotides) under uncultured bacterium. Its description in RNAcentral is "partial 16S ribosomal RNA". It matches the Rfam family "Bacterial small subunit ribosomal RNA", at positions 524 to 776 of the family's 1533-position model. The record is from RNAcentral.